Macrobrachium nipponense is the source of this 2318-nucleotide long non-coding RNA. RefSeq lists it as uncharacterized. The transcript has 2 exons. The record is from RefSeq and is a predicted model, not a curated record. Lineage: Eukaryota; Metazoa; Arthropoda; Malacostraca; Decapoda; Palaemonidae.
UAAUUUUUUCCAGGAUUUCAGGGGGGCAAAUGCCCCCUCUUGUCCCUAUGCGUGGGCACCCAUGCAAGUAUAUAUUACACAGUUUCUUCAUGUUUUACUUGUUUUCUCUAUUAGGAUACCAUUGAUGCGUUGUCAUUUUCACCAUGUGGACGGUUCUUAGCAUCUGCUGGAGGGGAUAAGCGCAUUUUAGUGUGGGAUAUGUCCCAUGGCAACUUGAUCACAGAAAUGGCAUCUCACACCUCAACGAUAUUCACAAUAUGCUUUUCCAGAGACUGCAAUAUACUUGCCUCAGGUGGACUAGACAACUGUGUGAAGCUUUGGGAUUUUGGCAAGGUACUAGAAGACAACCAUGAAGAUGACAUAAAUGUCUCACAAAAUUCAGAUGUGAAGAGAGGAGAAGAGAGUUUGCUGCUUGGAACUUUCCCCACCAAGAACACUCCCGUUUUGGCAACACACUUUACGAGAAGAAAUGUAUUAUUAGUGUCAGGACCAUUUGAAGGUUAAUGUUUUUUUCAAAAUAUGCAUUUGUAGCGUCAGGACCUACUGAAGUUUAUUUUUAAUGGACAUGUUCAUGACUGUAUGUAUUGUGUAUUAGUUUGAUAGAAAGUAUAAUUAUUUAUAGUAUUCAGAUGAAUUAUUUCAUUAUUUUGCAAAGUGAACCUAACGUCAUUUGCAGUGAAUGCAAUUGUCACAGGUUCUUAAACUGAAGACCUUUGCCUGUGCAUCAUGUUCAUAUUUCUCAUCUAAUCCCAAGUACAAAAAAAUCAAGAAUGCUUGUUUGUAUGUCAUAGUAUCUAUGGUAUGAAAUUUUCAAUCUCCCAUCUGUUAUUUUUGUACAAACAAAAAAACAUGUCAUUGUUGAACUGUCUGUGGCGUAUGGAAAUUUUUUUUAAUAAAAUGCCAAAGGUAAUUUAAUAUUUUAUUAUUUAUAAUAGGUACUUUUUUAACUGUACAAGAUUGCUGUCUGACUUUAGGGUUUUAGUGUACACAUGAAACAGGAUCAGUUGUGCUUGGCUUGGCAACUGCAGAUAUUAAAUCUUCAAAAUGGAUGCCACACAUCAAUCAAAUAUAAGAACUGAGCAAUUCCAAGCACAACUGAGCAGAGCUAAUAUGACGUGCCAACCAUAGUCGAUCCUUAAACUUCUUAUAUAUCAGGUUAACUUUCAUUUUAAAAUAUGGAAAAUAAACCUCAUAUACUUUAAGGCCUAUCAUUGCUGGAGUGGUCAUAUAUUGACAUUUGAAAUGCCUCGCAAUGGUCGUGCCAUGGUGAUGAUGAGAGCUUGCAAUCUGAUCACCAAGAUUUGAAGAGUUUGCAAUCUGACCAUCAAAAGCCAAAAAAGCAUGCUUUUAAAAGCCAUUAAAACUAUUCUUUAAUGGUAUCAUUUGAAAAUCAUAAAUAUACUUCUAAUACAAUUAAAAAUCUUGAUAAACACUUUCAAUGUCAUAUUUAUUAUAUCAAUGGCACACCCACAGCUGGGCAUUCAUUACAGCAUAUAUUCAAUUGGCCAAAAGCAUCAUGUACCAGGAUGCAAAAGGAGUACAAUUGACGGUCAGAUUAGACAUGGGAGCCCGAAACUCUAAUCUCAAUAUGCAGCAACAUACUAUCGGUCAUCGCCAAUCAUACUAAUAGUUUUUCCUGUUACUGUACACGCGUUGUCUGUCAUUAACUAUUUUACUGUUACAAUUAUCCCUGAAAUUUUUUUAUUUCUGCAAAAGCCAUUAGAGAUCUCUAAAAACUACUGUUGCUUGCCAGCCUUUGUAGUUUAGCUACCCAAGUCUAAUCUUUUCCGUUAAUAUGACGGUAAACAAAAAAAAAUUUACAAAUGACAUAGAAAUUCUUCCCUACUUUAUAAAAAGAAACUUAAAUAGAUAAUAUACAUUAUUAUCACAUGGCCAAUCAUGGUCAAGCAUAAGAUGGGACUGGACUUUUUCUCAGAUGUGAUGCAGACUGUUUGUAACAAAAAUGGUUCAAGUGAAUUAUGAAUGCUCACCGUUCCAUGUAUGACCAUGUUAGCUCAAAAAUCAACUCUUAACUCUGGUGAUUACUCUCGCAUAAUCUGAUAUCGUCCUUGUCAGAUGUUGGUAAAAACAGGUUGUAAACCAUGAUACACAAGAACAUGCAUCAAUAUACUGUACAACACCUAACUAUAUCAAUUUCAUAUAUUAAUGAUAAGCUUUAUAAACAUAUUCUCUCUCCUUCACUUUGGUGAGCAGAUUAACUGUUGGAGCGCAAGAUCCCUCACAAAAUAUGACUUAGUGAGAAGGCAAGAAACCUUUCUAACCACUUUGUGAACCUAGAGUGUUCAGGAGUUUUUUUU